This 72-nucleotide transfer RNA is filed under the name Chloroflexota bacterium. Its description in RNAcentral is "tRNA-Gly". It matches the Rfam family "tRNA". Rfam says of the family: Transfer RNA (tRNA) molecules are approximately 80 nucleotides in length. Their secondary structure includes four short double-helical elements and three loops (D, anti-codon, and T loops). Further hydrogen bonds mediate the characteristic L-shaped molecular structure. tRNAs have two regions of fundamental functional importance: the anti-codon, which is responsible for specific mRNA codon recognition, and the 3' end, to which the tRNAs corresponding amino acid is attached (by aminoacyl-tRNA synthetases). tRNAs cope with the degeneracy of the genetic code in two manners: having more than one tRNA (with a specific anti-codon) for a particular amino acid; and 'wobble' base-pairing, i.e. permitting non-standard base-pairing at the 3rd anti-codon position. RNAcentral also lists the same sequence under 2 other names. Lineage: Bacteria; Bacillati; Chloroflexota. The record is from RNAcentral.
GCGGAGAUAGUUCAACCGGCAGAACCUCUCUGUGCCAUAGAGAAAAUGUGGGUUCAAUUCCCGCUCUCCGCU